AACAUCGCGCACCUGCGGGAACCUGCGGAAGGAUCAUUACAGAGUUGCAAAACCCCCUAAACCAUUGUGAACGUUACCUAAACCGUUGCUUCGGCGGGCGGCCCGGGUCCUUCCCGGCGCCCAUCGGCCCUCGCGGGCGCCCGCCGGAGGUAAACCAAACUAUUGCAUUGUAUGGCCUCUCUGAGUCUUCUGUACUGAAUAAGUCAAAACUUUCAACAACGGAUCUCAGAUCGGAAGAGC
This 240-nucleotide unclassified non-coding RNA is filed under the name soil metagenome. Its description in RNAcentral is "partial contains 5.8S ribosomal RNA, internal transcribed spacer 2, and large subunit ribosomal RNA". The record is from RNAcentral.